RNAcentral lists this ribosomal RNA (482 nucleotides) under uncultured bacterium. RNAcentral's name for it is "partial 16S ribosomal RNA". It matches the Rfam family "Bacterial small subunit ribosomal RNA", at positions 30 to 507 of the family's 1533-position model. The record is from RNAcentral.
AUUGAACGCUGGCGGCAUGCUUUACACAUGCAAGUCGAACGGUAACAGGCCGCAAGGUGCUGACGAGUGGCGAACGGGUGAGUAAUGCAUCGGAACGUGCCCAGUCGUGGGGGAUAACUACUCGAAAGAGUAGCUAAUACCGCAUACGAUCUAUGGAUGAAAGCGGGGGACCGUAAGGCCUCGCGCGAUUGGAGCGGCCGAUGUCAGAUUAGGUAGUUGGUGGGGUAAAGGCUCACCAAGCCAACGAUCUGUAGCUGGUCUGAGAGGACAACCAGCCACACUGGGACUGAGACACGGCCCAGACUCCUACGGGAGGCAGCAGUGGGGAAUUUUGGACAAUGGGCGCAAGCCUGAUCCAGCAAUGCCGCGUGCAGGAAGAAGGCCUUCGGGUUGUAAACUGCUUUUGUACGGAACGAAACGGCUCUGGUUAAUACCCGGGGCUAAUGGCGGUACCGUAAGAAUAAGCACCGGCUAACUACGUG